GGUCGCUUAGCUCAGUUGGUUUAGAGCGUGGUGCUAAUAACGGCUAACCUAAAUAGGUCGCGAGUUCGACCCUCGUAGUGACCA
This 84-nucleotide transfer RNA is filed under the name Pseudopyrenochaeta lycopersici CRA-PAV_ER 1211. RNAcentral's name for it is "tRNA-Ile (AAT) (tRNA-Ile-AAT-1-1, tRNA-Ile-AAT-1-2)". It matches the Rfam family "tRNA". Rfam says of the family: Transfer RNA (tRNA) molecules are approximately 80 nucleotides in length. Lineage: Eukaryota; Fungi; Ascomycota; Dothideomycetes; Pleosporales; Pseudopyrenochaetaceae. The record is from RNAcentral.